AACGAGCGCUGGCGGCGUGCUUAACACAUGCAAGUCAAACGGGUGGUAACACCAGUGGCGCACGGGUGAGUAAUGCAUGGGUCAUCUGCCUCGUAGAGGGGGAUAACUACGCGAAAGUGUAGCUAAUACCGCAUACGCAGGAGACUGCAAAGGAGGGGACCGCAAGGCCUUCCGCUACGAGAUGAGCUCAUGUCCCAUUAGCUUGUUGGCGGGGUAACAGCCCACCAAGGCGAAGAUGGGUAGCUGGUCUGAGAGGACGAUCAGCCACACUGGAACUGAGACACGGUCCAGACUCCUACGGGAGGCAGCAGUGGGGAAUAUUGCGCAAUGGGCGAAAGCCUGACGCAGCAACGCCGCGUGAGUGAUGAAGGCCUUCGGGUUGUAAAGCUCUUUCGGUUGGGAAGAAGGGUGUGCGUACUAAUACUAUGUACAUUUGAUGGUACCAAAAGAAGAAGCACCGGCUAACUUCGUGCCAGCAGCCGCGGUAAUACGAAGGGUGCGAGCGUUGUUCGGAAUGACUGGGCGUAAAGGGUUCGUAGGCGGGAGAGCAAGUUAAGUGUGAAAUCCCCAGGCUCAACCUGGGACGUGCAUUUAAAACUGCUUUUCUUGAGUCGAGGAGAGGGUGAUGGAAUUGCUGGUGUAGGAGUGACAUCCGUAGAGAUCAGCAGGAACACCGGAGGCGAAGGCGAUCACCUGGCCGAAGACUGACGCUGAGGAACGAAAGCGUGGGGAGCAAACAGGAUUAGAUACCCUGGUAGUCCACGCCGUAAACGAUGAUAACUAGAUGUUGCGGGAAUUGACCCCUGCAGUAUCGCAGCUCACGCAUUAAGUUAUCCGCCUGGGGAGUACGGCCGCAAGGCUA
Molecule: ribosomal RNA, 862 nt
Filed under: uncultured bacterium
Lineage: Bacteria
Description: bacterial SSU rRNA
Rfam family: Bacterial small subunit ribosomal RNA
Source: RNAcentral